GAUGAACGCUGGCGGCGUGCCUAAUACAUGCAAGUCGAGCGAACGGACGAGAAGCUUGCUUCUGUGAUGUUAGCGGCGGACGGGGGAGUAACACGUGGAUAACCUACCUAUAAGACGGGGAUAACUGCGGGAAACCGGAGCUAAUACCGGAUAAUAUUUUGAACCGGAUGGUUCAAGAGUGAAAGACGGGCUUGCUGUCACUUAUAGAUGGAUCCGCGCUGCAUUAGCUAGUUGGGAAGGUAACGGCUUACCAAGGCAACGAUGCAUAGCCGACCUGAGAGGGUGAUAGGCCACACUGGAACUGAGACACGGUCCAGACUCCUACGGGAGGCAGCAGUAGGGAAUCUUCCGCAGUGGGCGAAAGCCUGACGGAGCAACGCCGCGUGAGUGAUGAAGGUCUUCGGAUCGUAAAACUCUGUUAUUAGGGAAGAACAUAUGUGUAAGUAACUGUGCACAUCUUGACGGUACCUAAUCAGAAAGCCACGGCUAACUACGUG
Molecule: ribosomal RNA, 497 nt
Filed under: uncultured bacterium
Lineage: Bacteria
Description: partial 16S ribosomal RNA
Rfam family: Bacterial small subunit ribosomal RNA
Source: RNAcentral